This 476-nucleotide ribosomal RNA is filed under the name uncultured bacterium. RNAcentral describes it as "partial 16S ribosomal RNA". It matches the Rfam family "Bacterial small subunit ribosomal RNA", at positions 29 to 506 of the family's 1533-position model. The record is from RNAcentral.
AUUGAACGCUGGCGGCAUGCCUUACACAUGCAAGUCGAACGGUAACAGGUUAAGCUGACGAGUGGCGAACGGGUGAGUAAUGUAUCGGAACGUGCCCAGUCGUGGGGGAUAACUGCUCGAAAGAGCAGCUAAUACCGCAUACGACCUGAGGGUGAAAGCGGGGGAUCGCAAGACCUCGCGCGAUUGGAGCGGCCGAUAUCAGAUUAGGUAGUUGGUGAGGUAAAGGCUCACCAAGCCGACGAUCUGUAGCUGGUCUGAGAGGACGACCAGCCACACUGGGACUGGGAAACGGCCCAGACCCCUAGGGGAGGCAGCAGGGGGGAAUUUUGGAAAAUGGGGGCAAGCCUGAUCCAGCCAUGCGGGGGGGGGGAAGAAGGCCUUGGGGUGGGAAACCGCUUUUGUAAGGGAAAAAAAGGUUCUGGUUAAUACCGGGGACCCAUGACGGUACCGGAAGAAUAAGCACCGGUUAACUACGU